CUUCCUCGUCGGCGUUGGUGGCCGGACGGGCUGGUGCGGCGGCGACUGCAGCCGACGCCGUUCAAAGGAACGAAAGACACAAAAGUCAGAACAGAGGCCAAAAGGACAACUUUGCUGAAGGACUCCUUUUAUGGCCAGGUGCUAUCCUUCCAUCCAAAGACUUCUCUAAACAGCCUUGAGGCAGCUGAGUCUGUGGGCAGCUGGUAGGUGACAAAAAUAGACGUCAAAGAUCGAUAAGAAACAUGGAUCUGAUACCUUUUGAAAAUUGAAGUUAACAAAGGUUUUUCUAUGAUUAUAUGGACUGUUCCUGUGUGGGAAAGUUUAUUUUCCAUUUGCAAUUAAUAGACUCACUGAUUCACCAUCAACAGUGAUAAGUUCCUCCUGAAUGAUACUUGAUCUUCACCAAAUGCAGUUAGCACUCAACCAGUCUACUUCUAUUACCCUGUAACAUAUCCUGAGUAGCUGCUUUGCAUAACCAUCUAAAUACUGUUUGUUUUAUCAUUUUAAAUGCAUGGAUACCUCAUCUUCCUAAUUUUAGAUCUUAAGCUUCCUGAGGACAAGAUACAGUUCAACCUUUGGUGGAAAGAUCCCUGGAGAGAUAGUCAGGUUAUGGAAAUUUGUACAAUUCUUUCUGAGUCUCAGAUUUCUCUAAGUC
Talpa occidentalis (Iberian mole) is the source of this 655-nucleotide long non-coding RNA. RefSeq lists it as uncharacterized. The transcript has 3 exons. Lineage: Eukaryota; Metazoa; Chordata; Mammalia; Eulipotyphla; Talpidae. The record is from RefSeq and is a predicted model, not a curated record.